UUGUGGAGGAGGACGCCGAAGGUGGGGCUAAUGACUGGGGUGAAGUCGUAACAAGGUAGCCGUACCGGAAGGUGCGGCUGGAUCACCUCCUAACAGGGAGACAACAAAAUGUUUAUAUUAAUUUUGUCACCUUAGGUCGAUCGGUAUCUCAAAUUUUUAAUCUAUGUUGAUUAAAAAUUUCGGUUUCUAAGUUUUUUCUAGGUCACACCCAUUCCUUUCCCUGGACCAUUAGCUCAGGUGGUUAGAGCGCACCCCUGAUAAGGGUGAGGUCCCUGGUUCAAGUCCAGGAUGGCCCAUAUCUCUAUGUUGGGGGUAUAGCUCAGUUGGUAGAGCGCCUGCUUUGCAAGCAGGAUGUCAGCGGUUCGAGUCCGCUUACCUCCACUGAAUACCACCUCUUUCAUGUCUAAAGGGAAUUGUUUUGAGAUGUCACCUAUUUUAUUCUGAACGAAUUUAGCCUCCUAAUUUUUACUACUUAAAUUAAGAUGCUGGAUUCAUUGAAUUAAUUCAUUGAUUUCAGAGAACCUUGAAAACUGCAUAGAUUAUUUUAAAGACAAUUAAGCAUCUUUUAUGAUGCAGAUUUAUUAUUUGUGCUUAAAGCAUUUAUAACAAUUCUAUUGAGCUGAUGCUUCAAUUUUGAAGUUAUUGGUCAAGCUACAA
This 657-nucleotide unclassified non-coding RNA is filed under the name uncultured Prochlorococcus sp. Its description in RNAcentral is "partial 16S-23S ribosomal RNA intergenic spacer; may also contain 16S ribosomal RNA and 23S ribosomal RNA". The stretch from base 309 to 381 matches the Rfam family "tRNA". Lineage: Bacteria; Bacillati; Cyanobacteriota; Cyanophyceae; Synechococcales; Prochlorococcaceae. The record is from RNAcentral.